AACGCCCUGCGAUGCGCGUGACCAGCCGAUUAGUAUUGAGCCAACACCAAUACUAAGGGAAUCUGGGCUCCGACUGUGGCAUGCAAGCCUCCAUGAUUGAGGAAGUAUAAAGCAGUUGGGCUGAUACCCACCUGUUGAGCACAGGUUCAAAUAACAACGGCCUCACGGCAUAAGUGGGGUAUUU
This 184-nucleotide non-coding RNA is filed under the name Firmicutes bacterium HGW-Firmicutes-14. RNAcentral's name for it is "6S RNA". It matches the Rfam family "6S / SsrS RNA". From Rfam's summary of the family: E. coli 6S RNA was the first non coding RNA to be sequenced, but its function was unknown until recently. Lineage: Bacteria; Bacillati; Bacillota. The record is from RNAcentral.